AGUGAACGCUGGCGGCAUGCUUUACACAUGCAAGUCGAACGGUAGAGGGGGCAACCCCUUGAGAGUGGCGAACGGGUGAGUAAUGCAUCGGAACGUGCCCAGUCGUGGGGGAUAACGCAGCGAAAGCUGUGCUAAUGCCGCAUACGAUCUCUGGAUGAAAGCGGGGGACCGACAGGCCUCGCGCGAUUGGAGCGGCCGAUGUCAGAUUAGGUAGUUGGUGGGGUAAAGGCUCACCAAGCCAACGAUCUGUAGCUGGUCUGAGAGGACGACCAGCCACACUGGGACUGAGACACGGCCCAGACUCCUACGGGAGGCAGCAGUGGGGAAUUUUGGACAAUGGGCGCAAGCCUGAUCCAGCAAUGCCGCGUGCAGGAAGAAGGCCUUCGGGUUGUAAACUGCUUUUGUACGGAACGAAAAGGUCUGGGUUAAUACCCUGGGCACAUGACGGUACCGUAAGAAUAAGCACCGGCUAACUACGUGCCAGCAGCCGCCGUAA
RNAcentral lists this ribosomal RNA (496 nucleotides) under uncultured bacterium. RNAcentral describes it as "partial 16S ribosomal RNA". It matches the Rfam family "Bacterial small subunit ribosomal RNA", at positions 29 to 523 of the family's 1533-position model. The record is from RNAcentral.